RNAcentral lists this ribosomal RNA (345 nucleotides) under Triticum aestivum (bread wheat). Its description in RNAcentral is "partial small subunit ribosomal RNA". Lineage: Eukaryota; Viridiplantae; Streptophyta; Magnoliopsida; Poales; Poaceae. The record is from RNAcentral.
AUGGCGUCCAACACUCUGCACGGCCGGCUGGUGACUCCUCUUGCUGUCGUGGUUGUCGGGAGGUUCGCCUCCCUCUUCUCAGCCUGUGCCAUGCUCGCCGGCACGCCCUUCUCUCACACACAUCUCAGUGGCCGCCGUGGUCGGGAGCGUCAAAAAUUGAGGGCAACCCAGUCUGGGAUUAUACCGUCCUCCAUGGCCAACAACGCCACAGCAGCCCGGCCGUCUAGUUGCGCUUCUUCCCGCGCUAUACCCCGGUGCACCAGCACAGCGACCCGCUGUUCGCCGCGGCCUUCCCGUCGACUUGGGGCAGCGGGGCGUUCGACCAGGGGUGGCGGCGCGGGUUGA